Molecule: ribosomal RNA, 348 nt
Filed under: uncultured bacterium
Lineage: Bacteria
Description: bacterial SSU rRNA
Rfam family: Bacterial small subunit ribosomal RNA
Source: RNAcentral
AGAGUUUGAUCAUGGCUCAGGACGAACGCUGGCGGCGCGCCUAACACAUGCAAGUCGAACGAGAGAGAGGGAACUUGCUUCCUUGAUCGAGUGGCGAACGGGUGAGUAACGCGUGAGGAACCUGCCUCAAAGAGGGGGACAACAGUUGGAAACGACUGCUAAUACCGCAUAAGCCCACGACCCGGCAUCGGGAAGAGGGAAAAGGAGCAAUCCGCUUUGAGAUGGCCUCGCGUCCGAUUAGCUAGUUGGUGAGGUAAUGGCCCACCAAGGCGACGAUCGGUAGCCGGACUGAGAGGUUGAACGGCCANAUUGGGACUGAGACACGGCCCAGACUCCGUACGGGAGGCA